RNAcentral lists this ribosomal RNA (2722 nucleotides) under Escherichia coli 2-210-07_S1_C3. RNAcentral's name for it is "bacterial LSU rRNA". It matches the Rfam family "Bacterial large subunit ribosomal RNA". The record is from RNAcentral. Lineage: Bacteria; Pseudomonadati; Pseudomonadota; Gammaproteobacteria; Enterobacterales; Enterobacteriaceae.
CGGGGGAACUGAAACAUCUAAGUACCCCGAGGAAAAGAAAUCAACCGAGAUUCCCCCAGUAGCGGCGAGCGAACGGGGAGCAGCCCAGAGCCUGAAUCAGUAUGUGUGUUAGUGGAAGCGUCUGGAAAGGCGCGCGAUACAGGGUGACAGCCCCGUACACAAAAAUGCACAUGCUGUGAGCUCGAUGAGUAGGGCGGGACACGUGGUAUCCUGUCUGAAUAUGGGGGGACCAUCCUCCAAGGCUAAAUACUCCUGACUGACCGAUAGUGAACCAGUACCGUGAGGGAAAGGCGAAAAGAACCCCGGCGAGGGGAGUGAAAAAGAACCUGAAACCGUGUACGUACAAGCAGUGGGAGCACGCUUAGGCGUGUGACUGCGUACCUUUUGUAUAAUGGGUCAGCGACUUAUAUUCUGUAGCAAGGUUAACCGAAUAGGGGAGCCGAAGGGAAACCGAGUCUUAACUGGGCGUUAAGUUGCAGGGUAUAGACCCGAAACCCGGUGAUCUAGCCAUGGGCAGGUUGAAGGUUGGGUAACACUAACUGGAGGACCGAACCGACUAAUGUUGAAAAAUUAGCGGAUGACUUGUGGCUGGGGGUGAAAGGCCAAUCAAACCGGGAGAUAGCUGGUUCUCCCCGAAAGCUAUUUAGGUAGCGCCUCGUGAAUUCAUCUCCGGGGGUAGAGCACUGUUUCGGCAAGGGGGUCAUCCCGACUUACCAACCCGAUGCAAACUGCGAAUACCGGAGAAUGUUAUCACGGGAGACACACGGCGGGUGCUAACGUCCGUCGUGAAGAGGGAAACAACCCAGACCGCCAGCUAAGGUCCCAAAGUCAUGGUUAAGUGGGAAACGAUGUGGGAAGGCCCAGACAGCCAGGAUGUUGGCUUAGAAGCAGCCAUCAUUUAAAGAAAGCGUAAUAGCUCACUGGUCGAGUCGGCCUGCGCGGAAGAUGUAACGGGGCUAAACCAUGCACCGAAGCUGCGGCAGCGACACUAUGUGUUGUUGGGUAGGGGAGCGUUCUGUAAGCCUGUGAAGGUGUGCUGUGAGGCAUGCUGGAGGUAUCAGAAGUGCGAAUGCUGACAUAAGUAACGAUAAAGCGGGUGAAAAGCCCGCUCGCCGGAAGACCAAGGGUUCCUGUCCAACGUUAAUCGGGGCAGGGUGAGUCGACCCCUAAGGCGAGGCCGAAAGGCGUAGUCGAUGGGAAACAGGUUAAUAUUCCUGUACUUGGUGUUACUGCGAAGGGGGGACGGAGAAGGCUAUGUUGGCCGGGCGACGGUUGUCCCGGUUUAAGCGUGUAGGCUGGUUUUCCAGGCAAAUCCGGAAAAUCAAGGCUGAGGCGUGAUGACGAGGCACUACGGUGCUGAAGCAACAAAUGCCCUGCUUCCAGGAAAAGCCUCUAAGCAUCAGGUAACAUCAAAUCGUACCCCAAACCGACACAGGUGGUCAGGUAGAGAAUACCAAGGCGCUUGAGAGAACUCGGGUGAAGGAACUAGGCAAAAUGGUGCCGUAACUUCGGGAGAAGGCACGCUGAUAUGUAGGUGAAGUCCCUCGCGGAUGGAGCUGAAAUCAGUCGAAGAUACCAGCUGGCUGCAACUGUUUAUUAAAAACACAGCACUGUGCAAACACGAAAGUGGACGUAUACGGUGUGACGCCUGCCCGGUGCCGGAAGGUUAAUUGAUGGGGUUAGCCGCAAGGCGAAGCUCUUGAUCGAAGCCCCGGUAAACGGCGGCCGUAACUAUAACGGUCCUAAGGUAGCGAAAUUCCUUGUCGGGUAAGUUCCGACCUGCACGAAUGGCGUAAUGAUGGCCAGGCUGUCUCCACCCGAGACUCAGUGAAAUUGAACUCGCUGUGAAGAUGCAGUGUACCCGCGGCAAGACGGAAAGACCCCGUGAACCUUUACUAUAGCUUGACACUGAACAUUGAGCCUUGAUGUGUAGGAUAGGUGGGAGGCUUUGAAGUGUGGACGCCAGUCUGCAUGGAGCCGACCUUGAAAUACCACCCUUUAAUGUUUGAUGUUCUAACGUUGACCCGUAAUCCGGGUUGCGGACAGUGUCUGGUGGGUAGUUUGACUGGGGCGGUCUCCUCCUAAAGAGUAACGGAGGAGCACGAAGGUUGGCUAAUCCUGGUCGGACAUCAGGAGGUUAGUGCAAUGGCAUAAGCCAGCUUGACUGCGAGCGUGACGGCGCGAGCAGGUGCGAAAGCAGGUCAUAGUGAUCCGGUGGUUCUGAAUGGAAGGGCCAUCGCUCAACGGAUAAAAGGUACUCCGGGGAUAACAGGCUGAUACCGCCCAAGAGUUCAUAUCGACGGCGGUGUUUGGCACCUCGAUGUCGGCUCAUCACAUCCUGGGGCUGAAGUAGGUCCCAAGGGUAUGGCUGUUCGCCAUUUAAAGUGGUACGCGAGCUGGGUUUAGAACGUCGUGAGACAGUUCGGUCCCUAUCUGCCGUGGGCGCUGGAGAACUGAGGGGGGCUGCUCCUAGUACGAGAGGACCGGAGUGGACGCAUCACUGGUGUUCGGGUUGUCAUGCCAAUGGCACUGCCCGGUAGCUAAAUGCGGAAGAGAUAAGUGCUGAAAGCAUCUAAGCACGAAACUUGCCCCGAGAUGAGUUCUCCCUGACUCCUUUAAGGGUCCUGAAGGAACGUUGAAGACGACGACGUUGAUAGGCCGGGUGUGUAAGCGCAGCGAUGCGUUGAGCUAACCGGUACUAAUGAACCGUGAGGCUUAACCU